This 253-nucleotide ribosomal RNA is filed under the name uncultured bacterium. RNAcentral's name for it is "partial 16S ribosomal RNA". It matches the Rfam family "Bacterial small subunit ribosomal RNA", at positions 524 to 776 of the family's 1533-position model. The record is from RNAcentral.
UACGAGGGGUGCAAGCGUUGCUCGGAAUUAUUGGGCGUAAAGGGUUGGUAGGUGGUCUUGUUUGUCUAGGGUGAAAUCCCAUGGCUUAACUGUGGAAGUGCCCUAGAAACGGCAAGACUAGAGUCCUAGAGGGGUUUGUGGAAUUCCCGGUGUAGCGGUGAAAUGCGUAGAGAUCGGGAGGAACACCAGCGGCGAAAGCACUCUGCUGGGCCGACACUGACACUGAGAGACGAAAGCUAGGGGAGCAAAUGGG